AGCGGCGGACGGGUGAGUAACACGUGGACAAUCUGCCCCCCGGUCCGGGAUAGCCCAGGGAAACCUGGAUUAAUACCGGAUGAGACGGGACCCGCGGAGGCGGGAUCCGGGAAAGGCGCUGCGGCGCCGCCGGGGGAUGAGUCUGCGUCCCAUUAGCUAGACGGCGGGGUAACGGCCCACCGUGGCGACGAUGGGUAGCCGGCCUGAGAGGGUGGACGGCCACAUUGGAACUGAGACACGGUCCAGACUCCUACGGGAGGCAGCAGCUAAGAAUCUUCCGCAAUGGGCGAAAGCCUGACGGAGCGACGCCGCGUGAACGAAGAAGGCCGUGAGGUUGUAAAGUUCUUUUCGGGAGGGGGAACAACCGUGGCAGGGAAUGGCCGCGGGAUGACGUGAAUCCCGGAAUAAGCCCCGGCUAACUACGUGCCAGCAGCCGCGGUAACACGUAGGGGGCGAGCGUUGUUCGGAAUCAUUGGGCGUAAAGGGCGUGCAGGCGGUCCUGCAAGUCCGGCGUGAAAGACCCCGGCCCAACCGGGGGGACGCGCUGGAAACUG
Molecule: ribosomal RNA, 554 nt
Filed under: uncultured bacterium
Lineage: Bacteria
Description: bacterial SSU rRNA
Rfam family: Bacterial small subunit ribosomal RNA
Source: RNAcentral